GAUUAACGCUGGCGGUAUGCCUAACACAUGCAAGUCGAACGGAAUGCUAUUUAAGAAAAUCUCACACUAGUGAGGGAUUUUCACGAGUAGUAUUUAGUGGCGGACGGGUGAGUAACACGUUGGAACCUGCCCCAAAGUGGGGAAUAACUGCCCGAAAGGGUAGCUAAUACCCCAUAGUAUCCGAUUUAUUCGGAUUAAAGAUUUAUCGCUUUGGGAGGGGCCUGCGUCUGAUUAGCUAGUUGGUGAGGUAAAAGCUCACCAAGGCGACGAUCAGUAGCUGGUUCGAGAGGAUGACCAGCCACACUGGGACUGAGAUACGGCCCAGACUCCUACGGGAGGCAGCAGUGAGGAAUCUUCCACAAUGGACGAAAGUCUGAACGAGCGACGCCGCGUGCGGGAUGAAGGCCCUUGGGUUGUAAACCGCUGUCAGGGGGAUGAAACCGUAAGGUUGACAGAGCCCCAGAGGAAGCACGGGCUAAGUUCGUGCCAGCAGCCGCGGUAAUAUAGCGUACUC
RNAcentral lists this ribosomal RNA (514 nucleotides) under uncultured bacterium. Its description in RNAcentral is "bacterial SSU rRNA". It matches the Rfam family "Bacterial small subunit ribosomal RNA", at positions 28 to 537 of the family's 1533-position model. The record is from RNAcentral.